This 760-nucleotide ribosomal RNA is filed under the name uncultured microorganism. RNAcentral's name for it is "bacterial SSU rRNA". It matches the Rfam family "Bacterial small subunit ribosomal RNA", at positions 8 to 796 of the family's 1533-position model. The record is from RNAcentral.
AGAGUUUGAUCAUGGCUCAGGAUGAACGCUGGCGGCGUGCCUAACACAUGCAAGUCGAGCGAUUCACUUCGGUGAAGAGCGGCGGACGGGUGAGUAACGCGUGGGUAACCUGCCUCAUACACAUGGAUAACAUACCGAAAGGUAUGCUAAUACAGGAUAACAUAAGAGAUUCGCAUGGAUUUCUUAUCAAAGCUCCGGCGGUAUGAGAUGGACCCGCGUCUGAUUAGCUAGUUGGUAAGGUAAUGGCUUACCAAGGCGACGAUCAGUAGCCGACCUGAGAGGGUGAUCGGCCACAUUGGAACUGAGACACGGUCCAAACUCCUACGGGAGGCAGCAGUGGGGAAUAUUGCACAAUGGGCGAAAGCCUGAUGCAGCAACGCCGCGUGAGUGAUGAAGGCCUUCGGGUCGUAAAACUCUGUCCUCAAGGAAGAUAAUGACGGUACUUGAGGAGGAAGCCCCGGCUAACUACGUGCCAGCAGCCGCGGUAAUACGUAGGGGGCUAGCGUUAUCCGGAUUUACUGGGCGUAAAGGGUGCGUAGGUGGUUUCUUAAGUCAGGAGUGAAAGGCUACGGCUCAACCGUAGUAAGCUCUUGAAACUGGGAAACUUGAGUGCAGGAGAGGAAAGUGGAAUUCCUAGUGUAGCGGUGAAAUGCGUAGAUAUUAGGAGGAACACCAGUAGCGAAGGCGGCUUUCUGGACUGUAACUGACACUAAGGCACGAAAGCGUGGGGAGCAAACAGGAUUAGAUACCCUGGUAGUCC